Long non-coding RNA from Felis catus (domestic cat), 2610 nucleotides. RefSeq lists it as uncharacterized. NCBI's taxonomy places the organism in Eukaryota, Metazoa, Chordata, Mammalia, Carnivora, Felidae. The transcript is spliced from 2 exons. The record is from RefSeq and is a predicted model, not a curated record.
GCGAGGGCUCGAUUCCACGUAUAUUUGCUGAACGCCUGUGGGGUGCCUGUUCUAGGCACAGGGGUGCGGGCGGCCGAGCAGGGCCGAGACAGAAGCCCCUACCUGGGGGAGAAGCGGAGAAGGCCGACGGAAAGAGUUAAACCAAACACGGGUGAUUCUUACCGUUCCCCCCGUGAAGUUCCGUGGUCUCCGCGAAGGCCGAAUCCGCGAAUACUGAAGUGCCCCUCCUGGAGGAAACAGGAGGUUAGCUUCCUACCAACCAUCAGUCACAACAUUUUCCUAAGCUGCUGGAUACGUGUAUUUCUGUAAAGACGUGUUGUUCGUAUAUGUCGUUGAUCCGUCCGCAUCGGGCUCCUGGCCAACAGCGCUGUGACUCAGGCCUGAACGAAGCUUCGCUGACACCCGGCCGGUCUGCGUAAGGCACAUCCCGGCCUUCUGGCGCUUAGGAACGCCGGACAGCCCUGCACCAGGGCGCCUUCCACCGCGACGUCGCCGACGAAAACCCAAAAACGUGAAAACAUGGCACCAAACAACUUGAAAAGGACCCCUGUCGGGACGAGAGCUGACACCAGAGGGCGGGGCGUUGGCUUUGCUCAACCUUCGCCGGAAACUACGCGUGCUGGACGACUCCCGUGUUUUGCCGGUCCGCGUCUGUCUGCGAGUUUUGGGGGUGGGGGGUACCGGUAAAUUUUAACAAGCGGAUGACGUCACAGACAGGGCAUCCGGAAACAAUGAGGAUCGCCUGUAAAUGCGUGCAGCGUCAGAGGAAGAACAGUCGAGCGGUGCGUGCUAGGGUCCUGGGGCCACCAUAACACCAAGUACCACAAAUUGGGUGGCUUCAAAGAGCAGACAUUUGUUCUUUCCCGUUCUGGAGGCUGCAUGUCCCACGCCAAGGCGCCGGCAGCACCAUGGCGUGGGGGUCCUAACUUGACCUUCCGGCUGAUGGUUCUCCCAGGUGUUCUAGCCUUGGGGCUAACCAGCCCCGGUGUCUCCUAAAAGGAGACCGUAACCAUAUUGGAAGACGGCCAACCUUUCCCCAGUGUGGCCUCGUCUUCACUUGCUUACAUCUGCAAAGAUCCUGUCUCCCAAUAAGGUCACGUUCACAGAGCCCCCACAACGGCUGGAACCCACAAACUGAGUUCAUGGCCUGCGCCCCAAAUCAAGAGGUGGAGGCUUAACGGACUGAGCCACCCAGGAGGUGCCCCCUGGGCACUGAGUUUUGAAGAGCAGACGGUGAGCUGGACUCCAGCCCCCGCUCGCCCAUUGGGUGAGUGCUUUGUGCAGUGGGCAACCUGUGGAACUGCACGUUAAGACCCUCAGGAUCGGUGGGAAAGGAAAACUCCUUUGAGGAGGGGAUAUUUGAACAGAGGCAUACAUGAAAUGGUGGAGGGAGCCACAGUGAGAUCUUGGGGGGAAAGCACCCAAGGCAGAAAGGCUCUGAGGCCGGAACACGCCUGGAGGGUUAACAGACUUGCAGGGAGGCCGGCCCACGUGGCUGGAAUCUUGGAGGGUGAGAGAGGGAGGGAGGGAAGGAGACGUGAGAUCCGAGGGAACCCAGCGGGGCCUGUGGUGUAGAACCCUGUGCUUCAUGGCGAUGAUUUUGCCGAGCCAGGGGGAGCCAAGGCCAAGGUCCUAAGCAGAGGGCUGUGAGCGGACUUGGGAUUCCUGGGCGCCCUCUGGCGGCCGUGGAGGGAACAGAUGGGGCGACCGCGGAAACGGAGCCCAGCCCGCAGGCCCAGGUGCCCAGGGCGCGUCUGGACCAGGGUGAUGCGCCCAGUUUCUCCUCAGGCCCUUGGGGGUGUUUGUGGCGGGGGAAGCGGAUAUGUGGGGGUCUCAGGAAAGAGAGACGACCCCCUCUCCCCCCCACUGCUAGCUGUCUACUUCCCCACGUGCGAAAUAAAGCACCGAAGAACACGGUUCUUAACAUCCUUGGAACCCUGCACGCUCCGGGCUGCGCCAAAAAAGUUUGGGGCGAUUUCCGCGGAAGUUCUGGAAGGUUGGCUGCAUGCGGCCCGACCGGGGAUGAUUAACGUUUCUGGAACACUUCAAGGGCACUGUUUCGAGCCCUUCCCCCCGGGAUAUUUUAUUUAGGCCUCCCAGAAGCCCCAGUGUGGGGAUUGAUAGCCCCAGCUCACGGGUGAAUAAACUGAGGCCCCCGAGGGGUGCAGGAGAUGGCAGGCUGGGCCGCACGCCAGGCGUUCUGGCUGCAAGCCCACGAACUUGGCCUCUGCACACCCAGCUUCCCCGGGAGCUGGGGGCGGGCAGCAAGGCCUUCCCAAGAGGACCGUGCCGGAACCAGAGCCCCCCACCCGCCGGGGGAGGAGAUCAAAACUGAUCUCAGCUCCUGCAAAGCUAGCCCCCCGGGGACCACACUUCACUUGCUCCCAGAUCCCAGAAGGAGCAGAAGCGGCUCGGUGGGUGCCUGUGGCGUCUCCUUUUCCACAGCUGAAGCAUCUGGAAAAAGACAGAGGCCCAGAACACCUCCCUCGGGGUCCAAGACGCCCCAAAGCUCAUCACUAACUCCCAGCCUUGCUGGCCUCCUUCUCCAACUGUUGUUGUUUUUAAUGUAAUUGUGGUGAAACGUGCAUAAUGUGAAAUUUACCACUUUAA